AGAGUUUGAUCCUGGCUCAGGAUGAACGCUAGCGGCAGGCUUAACACAUGCAAGUCGAGGGGCAGCACGGGUAGCAAUAUCUGGUGGCGACCGGCGCAAGGGUGCGUAACGCGUGAGCAACAUGCCCGUAUCAGGGGAAUAAUCCAGGGAAACUUGGUCUAAUACCCCAUAGUAAAUAUUAAAGGCAUCUUUAAUAUUUUAAAGCUUUGGUGGAUACGGAUUGGCUCGCGUGACAUUAGCUGGAUGGUAAGGUAACGGCUUACCAUGGCUACGAUGUCUAGGGGUUCUGAGAGGAAGAUCCCCCACGCUGGAACUGAGACACGGUCCAGACUCCUACGGUAGGCAGCAGUGAGGAAUAUUGGACAAUGGAUGGAAAUCUGAUCCAGCCAUGCCGCGUGCAGGAAGACGGCCCUAUGGGUUGUAAACUGCUUUUAUAUGGGAGCAAUAAGGCCUACGUGUAGGUCGAUGAGAGUACCAUAUGAAUAAGCACCGGCUAACUCCGUGCCAGCAGCCGCGGUAAUACGGAGGGUGCAAGCGUUAUCCGGAUUUAUUGGGUUUAAAGGGUGCGUAGGCGGUUUGAUAAGUCAGCGGUGAAAUAUUUCAGCUUAACUGGAAGGGUGCCGUUGAUACUGUCAGGCUUGAAUUUAGUUGCUGUGGGUGGAAUGUGUGGUGUAGCGGUGAAAUGCAUAGAUAUCACACAGAAUAUCGAUUGCGAAGGCAGCUCACAAAGCUAACAUUGACGCUGAUGCACGAAAGUGUGGGGAUCAAACAGGAUUAGAUACCCUGGUAGUC
RNAcentral lists this ribosomal RNA (792 nucleotides) under uncultured bacterium. RNAcentral's name for it is "bacterial SSU rRNA". It matches the Rfam family "Bacterial small subunit ribosomal RNA", at positions 8 to 795 of the family's 1533-position model. The record is from RNAcentral.